Molecule: ribosomal RNA, 815 nt
Filed under: Enterococcus sp. M272
Lineage: Bacteria; Bacillati; Bacillota; Bacilli; Lactobacillales; Enterococcaceae
Description: bacterial SSU rRNA
Rfam family: Bacterial small subunit ribosomal RNA
Source: RNAcentral
GCUAUACAUGCAGUCGUACGCUUCUAAUUUCCACCGGAGCUUGCUCCACCGGAAAAAGAAGAGUGGCGAACGGGUGAGUAACACGUGGGUAACCUGCCCAUCAGAAGGGGAUAACACUUGGAAACAGGUGCUAAUACCGUAUAACAAUCGAAACCGCAUGGUUUUGAUUUGAAAGGCGCUUUCGGGUGUCGCUGAUGGAUGGACCCGCGGUGCAUUAGCUAGUUGGUGAGGUAACGGCUCACCAAGGCCACGAUGCAUAGCCGACCUGAGAGGGUGAUCGGCCACAUUGGGACUGAGACACGGCCCAAACUCCUACGGGAGGCAGCAGUAGGGAAUCUUCGGCAAUGGACGAAAGUCUGACCGAGCAACGCCGCGUGAGUGAAGAAGGUUUUCGGAUCGUAAAACUCUGUUGUUAGAGAAGAACAAGGAUGAGAGUAACUGUUCAUCCCUUGACGGUAUCUAACCAGAAAGCCACGGCUAACUACGUGCCAGCAGCCGCGGUAAUACGUAGGUGGCAAGCGUUGUCCGGAUUUAUUGGGCGUAAAGCGAGCGCAGGCGGUUUCUUAAGUCUGAUGUGAAAGCCCCCGGCUCAACCGGGGAGGGUCAUUGGAAACUGGGAGACUUGAGUGCAGAAGAGGAGAGUGGAAUUCCAUGUGUAGCGGUGAAAUGCGUAGAUAUAUGGAGGAACACCAGUGGCGAAGGCGGCUCUCUGGUCUGUAACUGACGCUGAGCUCGAAAGCGUGGGGAGCAAACAGGAUUAGAUACCCUGGUAGUCCACGCCGUAAACGAUGAGUGCUAAGUGUUGGAGGGUUUCC